UCGAACGGUAACAGGAUGUGCUUGCACAUCGCUGACGAGUGGCGGACGGGUGAGUAAUGCUUGGGAACUUGCCUUUGCGAGGGGGAUAACAGUUGGAAACGACUGCUAAUACCGCAUAAUGUCUUCGGACCAAACGGGGCUCCGGCUCCGGCGCAAAGAGAGGCCCAAGUGAGAUUAGCUAGUUGGUAAGGUAACGGCUUACCAAGGCGACGAUCUCUAGCUGUUCUGAGAGGAAGAUCAGCCACACUGGGACUGAGACACGGCCCAGACUCCUACGGGAGGCAGCAGUGGGGAAUAUUGCACAAUGGGGGAAACCCUGAUGCAGCCUGCCGCGUGUGUGAAGAAGGCCUUCGGGUUGUAAAGCACUUUCAGUUGUGAGGAAAAGUUAGUAGUUAAUACCUGCUAGCCGUGACGUUAACAACAGAAGAAGCACCGGCUAACUCCGUGCCAGCAGCCGCGGUAAUACGGAGGGUGCGAGCGUUAAUCGGAAUUACUGGGCGUAAAGCGCACGCAGGCGGUUUGUUAAGCUAGAUGUGAAAGCCCCGGGCUCAACCUGGGAAGU
RNAcentral lists this ribosomal RNA (562 nucleotides) under uncultured prokaryote. Its description in RNAcentral is "bacterial SSU rRNA". It matches the Rfam family "Bacterial small subunit ribosomal RNA", at positions 62 to 622 of the family's 1533-position model. The record is from RNAcentral.